GACUUAAGCAUAUCAAUAAGCGGAGGAAAAGAAACCAACAGGGAUUGCCCUAGUAACGGCGAGUGAAGCGGCAACAGCUCAAAUUUGAAAUCUGGCCUCGGCCCGAGUUGUAAUUUGCAGAGGAUGCUUUUGGUGCGGUGCCUUCCGAGUUCCCUGGAACGGGACGCCACAGAGGGUGAGAGCCCCGUAUGGUCGGACACCAAUCCUGUGUAAAGCUCCUUCGACGAGUCGAGUAGUUUGGGAAUGCUGCUCUAAAUGGGAGGUAAAUCUCUUCUAAAGCUAAAUACCGGCCAGAGACCGAUAGCGCACAAGUAGAGUGAUCGAAAGAUGAAAAGCACCUUGAAAAGGGGGUUAAACAGUACGUGAAAUUGUUGAAAGGGAAGCACUUGUGACCAGACUUGGGCCGGGCGGCUCAUCAGGGGUUCUCCCCUGUGCAUUCCGCCCGGUACAGGCCAGCAUCGGUUCUUACCGGGGGAUAAGAACGGCAGGAACGUGGCUCCCUCUCGGGGGAGUGUUAUAGCCUGCCGUACGAUACCCUGGCGGGGACCGAGGUUCGCGCUUCCGCAAGGAUGCUGGCGUAAUGGUUACUAGUGACCCGUCUUGAAACACGGACCAAGGAGUCGUCCAUUAGAGCGAGCGUUUGGGUGUAAAACCCGCACGCGUAAUGAAAGUGAAAUUAGGUGAGAGCUUCGGCGCAUCAUCGACCGAUCCUGAUGUUCUCGGAUGGAUUUGAGUAAGAGUUUUAACGGACGGACCCGAAAGACAGUGAACUAUGCUUGUAUAGGGUGAAGCCAGAGGAAACUCUGGUGGAGGCUCGCAGCGGUUCUGACGUGCAAAUCGAUCGU
Molecule: ribosomal RNA, 845 nt
Filed under: Tubakia seoraksanensis
Lineage: Eukaryota; Fungi; Ascomycota; Sordariomycetes; Diaporthales; Tubakiaceae
Description: eukaryotic LSU rRNA
Rfam family: Eukaryotic large subunit ribosomal RNA
Source: RNAcentral